AGUGAACGCUGGCGGUAGGCCUAACACAUGCAAGUCGAACGGCAGCACAGUAAGAGCUUGCUCUUACGGGUGGCGAGUGGCGGACGGGUGAGGAAUACAUCGGAAUCUACUUUUUCGUGGGGGAUAACGUAGGGAAACUUACGCUAAUACCGCAUACGACCUACGGGGGAAAGCAGGGGAUCUUCGGACCUUGCGCGAUUGAAUGAGCCGAUGUCGGAUUAGCUAGUUGGCGGGGUAAAGGCCCACCAAGGCGACGAUCCGUAGCUGGUCUGAGAGGAUGAUCAGCCACACUGGAACUGAGACACGGUCCAGACUCCUACGGGAGGCAGCAGUGGGGAAUAUUGGACAAUGGGCGAAAGCCUGAUCCAGCCAUACCGCGUGGGUGAAGAAGGCCUUCGGGUUGUAAAGCCCUUUUGUUGGGAAAGAAAAGCAGCAGGUUAAUACCCCGCUGUUCUGACGGUACCCAAAGAAUAAGCACCGGCUAACUUCGUG
RNAcentral lists this ribosomal RNA (492 nucleotides) under uncultured bacterium. RNAcentral describes it as "partial 16S ribosomal RNA". It matches the Rfam family "Bacterial small subunit ribosomal RNA", at positions 29 to 507 of the family's 1533-position model. The record is from RNAcentral.